AGAUUUUUUUCUCCGACAUGAAAAACGUCGUGGAUCCCACCAUAAAAUACAGCCGUUAUAAACCACUCGUCCGCUCACACUCUGACACAUUAACCAGUGAUCAAAGAGUCCAACCACAGCAUUUUCCUGUUCUAUUUGUCCUAGUAAAUGCGUAUAUUAUCUUCUUCGCAGUUUUAUGGACGACAGUCUUUUUUGUUUUGUUUCUUCCAGUUUGAGAAAAAUAAAUCUGAGGUGACUUGGUGCUGUUUUAUAAGCCAGACAGGAACGUUGAUUAUCCAGAGGGCCACUGGACAUCGGAGUGAACUGGAAGAGGAAUCGGUGUGACCAGCUGUGAACUACACAAAUAUUCUCUCUCUUUCAAGAUCAAACCCUGUUUUCCCGCCCCUGUGAUCAUCGUCCAUCAGGAUGCGCUCCUUGUGUUUUCUGCUCCUGACCCUGACCCUUGUUCUCUGCGCAUGCGCCGAUGAUGCCAUAGUGUGUCAGAGGGCAUGCGCAGUCGCACCAAAGAACACAGGGGAGAUCACUAGAGUGAUCAAGUCAUUGUGUGGCUGUUUGUCCCGAAGACGAUUCAGAGGCCUCCCCGCCUCCCCACCCAUCAACGAACACAACAUCUGUGAGGAGCUGUGUAAAAUCAUGCUGGGAGGCGAUGCCUGCCAGUGUAGCAUGCCCAGCCUGCCGUGAGAGGGGAAGGUGGUUCAAAUCCUGUUUUUCUUACUCUUUAAAAUGAUAUUUUUGUACCACCGAAAAAGACGCCCGUCCUCUUUUUUUUUUCAAAGAUCUUUUGAAAGAAAGAAGUGAAGGUCGAAGGUCAAUCCUGAUUUAUUAUUGCAAUGGUGAAGAUAACGAGUAGGUCUAUGGGAAAAGGG
Molecule: long non-coding RNA, 866 nt
Organism: Aplysia californica (California sea hare)
Lineage: Eukaryota; Metazoa; Mollusca; Gastropoda; Aplysiida; Aplysiidae
Exons: 3
Source: RefSeq, a predicted model, not a curated record